This 920-nucleotide long non-coding RNA is filed under the name Pan troglodytes (chimpanzee). Its description in RNAcentral is "long non-coding RNA NONPTRT002838". Lineage: Eukaryota; Metazoa; Chordata; Mammalia; Primates; Hominidae. The record is from RNAcentral.
GAAUCAACAAAAUGGAGAAGUAUUUUAUACAACUUAUAUGAUCUGCUAGUGAAUGAGAUAAGUCAUAUAGGAAGUAGAGGAAAGUAUUCUUCAGGAUUUCGUAAUAUUGCUGUCAAAGAAAAUUUGAUUGAAUUGAUGGCAGAUAUCUGUCACCAGGUUUUUAAUGAAGAUACCAGAUCCUUGGAGAUUUCUCAAUCUUAUACUACUACACAAAGAGAAUCUAGUGAUUACAGUGUACCUUGCAAAAGGAAGAAAAUAGAACUAGGCUGGGAAGUAAUAAAAGAUCACCUUCAGAAGUCACAGAAUGAUUUUGAUCUUGUGCCUUGGCUACAGAUUGCAACCCAGUUAAUAUCAAAGUAUCCUGCAAGUUUACCUAACUGUGAGCUGUCUCCAUUACUGAUGAUACUAUCUCAGCUUCUACCCCAACAGCGACAUGGGGAACGUACACCAUAUGUGUUACGAUGCCUUACGGAAGUUGCAUUGUGUCAAGACAAGAGGUCAAACCUAGAAAGCUCACAAAAGUCAGAUUUAUUAAAACUCUGGAAUAAAAUUUGGUGUAUUACCUUUCGUGGUAUAAGUUCUGAGCAAAUACAAGCUGAAAACUUUGGCUUACUUGGAGCCAUAAUUCAGGGUAGUUUAGUUGAGGUUGACAGAGAAUUCUGGAAGUUAUUUACUGGGUCAGCCUGCAGACCUUCAUGUCCUGCAGUAUGCUGUUUGACUUUGGCACUGACCACCAGUAUAGUUCCAGGAACGGUAAAAAUGGGAAUAGAGCAAAAUAUGUGUGAAGUAAAUAGAAGCUUUUCUUUAAAGGAAUCAAUAAUGAAAUGGCUCUUAUUCUAUCAGUUAGAGGGUGACUUAGAAAAUAGCACAGAAGUGCCUCCAAUUCUUCACAGUAAUUUUCCUCAUCUUGUACUGGAGAA